Molecule: ribosomal RNA, 432 nt
Filed under: uncultured bacterium
Lineage: Bacteria
Description: partial 16S ribosomal RNA
Rfam family: Bacterial small subunit ribosomal RNA
Source: RNAcentral
ACGCACGCUGGCGGCAUGCCUCACACCUGCAAGUCGAACGAGACCUUCGGGUCUAGUGGCGCACGGGUGCGUAACGCGUGGGAACCUGCCCUUAGGUUCGGAAUAACUCCCCGAAAGGGGUGCUAAUACCGGAUAAUGUCUUCGGACCAAAGAUUUAUCGCCUUUGGAUGGGCCCGCGUUGGAUUAGCUAGUUGGUAGGGUAAAAGCCUACCAAGGCGACGAUCCAUAGCUGGUCUGAGAGGAUGAUCAGCCACACUGGGACUGAGACACGGCCCAGACUCCUACGGGAGGCAGCAGUGGGGAAUAUUGGACAAUGGGCGAAAGCCUGAUCCAGCAAUGCCGCGUGAGUGAUGAAGGCCUUAGGGUUGUAAAGCUCUUUUACCCGGGAUGAUAAUGACAGUACCGGGAGAAUAAGCUCCGGCUAACUCCGUG